CAAGCGGUGGAGCAUGUGGUUUAAUUCGAAGCAACGCGAAGAACCUUACCAAAUCUUGACAUCCUUUGAAAACUCUAGAGAUAGAGCCUUCCCCUUCGGGGGACAAAGUGACAGGUGGUGCAUGGUUGUCGUCAGCUCGUGUCGUGAGAUGUUGGGUUAAGUCCCGCAACGAGCGCAACCCUUAAGCUUAGUUGCCAUCAUUAAGUUGGGCACUCUAGGUUGACUGCCGGUGACAAACCGGAGGAAGGUGGGGAUGACGUCAAAUCAUCAUGCCCCUUAUGAUUUGGGCUACACACGUGCUACAAUGGACAAUACAAAGGGCAGCUAAACCGCGAGGUCAUGCAAAUCCCAUAAAGUUGUUCUCAGUUCGGAUUGUAGUCUGCAACUCGACUACAUGAAGCUGGAAUCGCUAGUAAUCGUAGAUCAGCAUGCUACGGUGAAUACGUUCCCGGGUCUUGUACACACC
This 466-nucleotide ribosomal RNA is filed under the name uncultured bacterium. Its description in RNAcentral is "bacterial SSU rRNA". It matches the Rfam family "Bacterial small subunit ribosomal RNA", at positions 926 to 1391 of the family's 1533-position model. The record is from RNAcentral.